GGCCGCGUGGCCUAAUGGCUAAGGCGCUAGAUUUCGGUCUUUGAGCCCCGAAUUCUCUAGAGAUUCCAGGUUAGUACACGCACGCAACAACUCGCAUCGUCAUCACCAAUACUAACAUCAUCUCAAGGUUCGACUCCUGGCGUGGUCG
This 148-nucleotide transfer RNA is filed under the name Fusarium falciforme. Its description in RNAcentral is "tRNA-Arg". It matches the Rfam family "tRNA". From Rfam's summary of the family: Transfer RNA (tRNA) molecules are approximately 80 nucleotides in length. The record is from RNAcentral. Lineage: Eukaryota; Fungi; Ascomycota; Sordariomycetes; Hypocreales; Nectriaceae.